Long non-coding RNA from Malaya genurostris, 1086 nucleotides. RefSeq lists it as uncharacterized. The record is from RefSeq and is a predicted model, not a curated record. Lineage: Eukaryota; Metazoa; Arthropoda; Insecta; Diptera; Culicidae. The transcript has 4 exons.
GAUUUUCACAGAUUUCUGAAAAUGACCUGGCAUCCCUGCUGCGGAGAAAAAAAGUGCCAUUAUCCGUGGAUCAGUAAUAAACAAAAGAAAGCGCUCAAAUUUUAUUAAAGUUCUAUUUUUGGAUAUUUCUGUGACAGUAGUUUUACUCCGUUAUGUCGGAGGAGAAUAAAAAUAUAUUUUCAUCCUUCGAUUGUACAUCGAAGCAAUCGUCACCUGAUGGGAUAAUCAAUUAUAUUGCGCAAGUGUCUUUCAAUCCUGGUGAUUCUUUAGAGGAUAUUUAUGAAGAAAUCGAUUGGGAAUCUCUUGAUAUUGUGAAAUUACUCCGUUCAUUAGGAGUAUGCAAAAAUGUCAUUAAAAAAUUCAUUGAUAAUGGAUAUCGAAUUACUCAAAGUUAUACAAAGAAAAGAAAUUGAAACCCUUGUUUGCGAGCCGUACCUUGCAGAUCGAACAAGAAUCAUAUCUGGUUUAAACUCCUGGAGAAUCUCACAGAACCUGCCUCCAAUAAGUUCACCUUUGAAGUCAAGUGAGAAUGUUAGUAGCACCCACCGAAGUCCAAUGAAAAGCGAGAACUGUACUGCCUCUUUCUUAUUGAAUAAUUCAGCCGGAGGUCAACGGAUCCUGAAAGUGUACGAAGAGACGAAAUUAUUGAGUAAAACAGACAGGAGAAACAUUACGCAAAUAGUCAUCGACGAGUACAAAGACCGCUUUGGAAAAUUGACUCACAAGCAGCUUGAAGACCGGCAGCGGAGCUUAGUAAACUGUUUCCAUCGGAAUCUACGGUAUUCAUCAAAGCCAAUUAAUUUGCAUACUGUACAUCAAUCCUUAUAUUUAAGACAACAGUAAUAUUGAGGGUCUACAAAUUCAUAGUAGUUCAUAGUAGUAAGAAAAUAAUUUAAGUGGUUAGUCACAUUUAGUGUGUUCGAGGUCUGCGAGAUAAUAUUGUUAUUUAGUCGUGCAUUUGUAAUCACCGUUAAAUUGAAAAAAGGUGAACCAUGAAAUCAUCAAAUUUGAAUUAUUAUUUUAAGAUCGAGGAUUUUUUGUAUUUCCAAAGGUACUAGUAUACCCAUCCUAAUUUUUGAAUAAAAA